AUGGACAGAGGCUAAGAGAGGGGGACAAAAGGGAGUGGAAAGACUAGAGAGCUGGGAAUGGGAGGAGGGCAACACAGAGGGGAGGCGCUGUGAAGCGGGGCAGUGCGCUGCAGCUCCUCCCAGGCAGCCCGGGAAGUUUGCUGAGCAUCCCUGAGACACCGCAGAGCGCUGCCUCGCUGCAGGGGAGAGUCACACGGUGCUGCUGGGGCGGAGGUUCAGCUGGACUCGGCGCGUUUGCUGGCUGGUCCCUGCUUGGCCCGGAACAGAGUCGGAGAGUGGAGAAAGCAGGAAGCCAGAAAGAAGCCGCUUCGGGGGCAUUUGCCUGAGACCAGCGCAGCUGCAGGCGCGCCAGACCCGCACCCACACGCAGGGGACUAGGAGGACACCCACAGAGACACCCCAUCUUCUCCAGGAUGCUGGCGGAAUGCCCCCGAGCGGCAGAGGCGAGCUGGGAGUGUGCAGGCAAUAGCUCGGGUGUAAACGUGGCGGAGUGCGAGCUGCCUAGUUUCCAGCCCCUGUCGGCUUCUAACGAAUGCAUGGGAGUGAGCCCAGCGAAUCCGAACGUUUACGCCUGUGGCUCCAGCCUGAGCCGGACACGACGCGGGGUAGAUGCUAGUCGGGCAGAGGGCAAGGGACCCGGUGUGGGGAUUUAAAGCGGAGCGUGCUGUUUUGACAGGUUCUUGAUUUCACUGCCACUGCUGGAUGUUGACAUGCAACAACUACUGAAGCCUGGGGCAUCCUCAAACGACUCAGAGAACUUCGUUAGAGAAUGUGACUUGAACUCCCUCUUGUGGAAAGAUAUUGGAAUUAAACUUUCAUGAU
This 822-nucleotide long non-coding RNA is filed under the name Gopherus agassizii (Agassiz's desert tortoise). RNAcentral describes it as "lncRNA (ENSGAGG00000025344.1)". The record is from RNAcentral. Lineage: Eukaryota; Metazoa; Chordata; Testudines; Testudinidae.